This 374-nucleotide ribosomal RNA is filed under the name uncultured bacterium. RNAcentral describes it as "bacterial SSU rRNA". It matches the Rfam family "Bacterial small subunit ribosomal RNA", at positions 363 to 758 of the family's 1533-position model. The record is from RNAcentral.
UAUUGGGCAUGGGCGCAGCCUGACCGCCUGCCGCGUGAGUGAUGAAGGCCUUCGGGUUGUAAAGCUCUUUUGGCGGGGACGAUGAUGACGGUACCCGCAGAAUAAGCCCCGGCAAACUUCGUGCCAGCAGCCGCGGUAAGACGAAGGGGGCAAGCGUUGUUCGGAAUUACUGGGCGUAAAGGGCGCGUAGGCGGUUCUUUAAGUCAGGCGUGAAAGCCCUGGGCUCAACCUGGGAGUGGCGCUUGAUACUGGGGGACUAGAGAGUGGGAGAGGUUGGUGGAAUUCCCAGUGUAGAGGUGAAAUUCGUAGAUAUUGGGAAGAACACCGGUGGCGAAGGCGGCCAACUGGACCAUUUCUGACGCUGAGGCGCGAAA